Molecule: small nucleolar RNA, 76 nt
Filed under: Homo sapiens (human)
Lineage: Eukaryota; Metazoa; Chordata; Mammalia; Primates; Hominidae
Description: C/D snoRNA (SNORD81L4)
Source: RNAcentral
CAGGUAAAACAGGCCUUUAGAACUAUUAUCCAGGACUCACUGAUUACUUGAUGACAAUAAAAUAUCUGAUAGCCUA